CGGAACGGGUGAGUAACGCGUGAGGAACCUGCCUCAAAGAGGGGGACAACAGUUGGAAACGGCUGCUAAUACCGCAUAAGCCCACGGCUCGGCAUCGAGCAGAGGGAAAAGGAGUGAUCCGCUUUGAGAUGGCCUCGCGUCCGAUUAGCUAGUUGGUGAGGUAACGGCCCACCAAGGCGACGAUCGGUAGCCGGACUGGGAGGUUGAACGGCCACAUUGGGACUGAGACACGGCCCAG
This 238-nucleotide ribosomal RNA is filed under the name uncultured bacterium. RNAcentral describes it as "partial 16S ribosomal RNA". It matches the Rfam family "Bacterial small subunit ribosomal RNA", at positions 100 to 334 of the family's 1533-position model. The record is from RNAcentral.